AUAGGAACAGCUCCGGUCUACAGCUCCCAGCACGAGCGACGCAGAAGACGGGUGAUUUCUGCAUUUCCAUCUGAGAUUCAACGAAGACAUCCAGACGGCUCUGCAUGGUGUUUAGAGAGCAGCCCCCUGUUGAAGCUCUUCUAAUUUUCUGUGUCAUAAAUGGUAUAGAACAGAAGAGUGUUGCUGUUUCAACAAUAAUG
Pongo pygmaeus (Bornean orangutan) is the source of this 200-nucleotide long non-coding RNA. RefSeq lists it as uncharacterized. The record is from RefSeq and is a predicted model, not a curated record. The transcript is spliced from 3 exons. Lineage: Eukaryota; Metazoa; Chordata; Mammalia; Primates; Hominidae.